AUAGACAUCCGAACGUAUCCUUAUUAAGUAAAAAAAUAACAACAAACCAAUAACACCAAGUGUCGGUUAAAGAAAUCCGAAAUUCGUAUACCAUCCUAAUGUGAUUGUUAGGCUCAUUUAUCAUAAACCAGGAAAACUAAUACAAAGUACCGUUAUUCAUACAAAGGAACACCACGUUAAACAAAGGACGUUAACUAUUGAGUUGAAAAAACGUCCCUCCAUUGAUGUAAAGAAGGCAACGACUUUUUCGACUCCACUUAAGAUACUGUCACUCCCAACUACUAUCCUCGUGUUCAUUAAGACUACACAGAAUCUAUUCUACGAUAUUCCUAAUGUAUUGAAAGAAAUGGUUAGUGUCAUGGCUGCCACCGUCCGGUACGAAAGAUAGACGUCAAGAGGUUGAUUUUCAGAUUGACGUCCUCAUACAUCUUAGAAGAAAUGAAUUGAUCGAAUAUGAGUGCCUGUAUAGCACUUCGUGUUCGUCGGAACGUUGGUGUUUGGAACGUCUGAAGAGAAAAGUAUAGGUUUGAAACGUUUGUAAAGUAAGUACAAAAAUUUGAAUAAGAUGCAAA
Molecule: ribosomal RNA, 572 nt
Filed under: Triticum aestivum (bread wheat)
Lineage: Eukaryota; Viridiplantae; Streptophyta; Magnoliopsida; Poales; Poaceae
Description: partial small subunit ribosomal RNA
Source: RNAcentral